Molecule: ribosomal RNA, 429 nt
Filed under: uncultured archaeon
Lineage: Archaea
Description: bacterial SSU rRNA
Rfam family: Archaeal small subunit ribosomal RNA
Source: RNAcentral
UACCGGCAGCUCAAGUGAUGACCGAUUUUAUUGGGCCUAAAGCGUCCGUAGCCGGCCUCAAAGGUCCAUCGGGAAAUCCGCCAGCUCAACUGGCGGGCGUCCGGUGGAAACCAUGUGGCUUGGGAUCGGAAGGCUCGAGGGGUACGUCCGGGGUAGGAGUGAAAUCCUGUAAUCCUGGACGGACCACCGAUGGCGAAAGCACCUCGAGAAGACGUAUCCGACGGUGAGGGACGAAAGCUAGGGUCUCGAACCGGAUUAGAUACCCGGGUAGUCCUAGCCGUAAACGAUGCUCGCUAGGUGUGGCACAGGCUACGCGCCUGUGCUGUGCCGUAGGGAAGCCGAGAAGCGAGCCGCCUGGGAAGUACGUCCGCAAGGAUGAAACUUAAGGAAUUGGCGGGGGAGCACUACAACCGGAGGAGCCUGCGGUUU